UUGUAAGAAGCUUGAAGUAAUAUUUCAAAAACUUUCCGCUUGCGCUUUCGCUUCUAUCGUUAAAACCGAGGGGUGUGACAGAGGUCGCGUGAUGUCAAUCAAAACUUCUUCGUUUAAUUGGUUAGCACUUCCAAAACAAUCAUUUCCAAGAACCGUUCAAAGUUUGCCAAAGCGUUCGAUUAGAAAGGCGCUCAAGAUUUCUUUCUCAAAGCGUCUUUAGAUAAAAUUGAGAAUGGACAAAGCAAAGCUUUUGAAUCUUUGUAGAAUUUUCCAUCGUCAAACUGAUGGCGAGGGGAAAACGAUUCUUGGUUGUGGUUGUGUAGUAAAAUGUAGCAAUCGGUCUUUGAAGAUUGCUACUUCCAAAAAAAUACGAAAAAUGGAAGGUGGCGAAGUCUUCGCUACUUUUGAGGCUAUCCAAGAUAGAGAAAUCAAACUGCAAGUUGAUAUGGAAGAAGACGAACAAGAGAGUGGGAUCGCUUAUCUUUCAUUUGACGAAAACGUAUUUGAACACCUUCCAGAAGGCAUACCAAUGGGAGAUCUUGGUAGGAUUGAUAUAAUUACUUAUCGUGUUCCGGUGUUCGACAAAUUAGAGCAGCUGCAUGUAUCUACAAGUGAGAUCAAGCUCUACAAUGUUGUAGAAGAUCCGACCAGGUGCACUUUACAGAUCCAAACUGGAAAUAACAACAGGGUUAUAAGCAACUUACGCGAAAGUGACNAGUUUCAUUUGGUUGUUCGUGGUGCUCCGAUACUUGAUGAUAGGUUCGAGUUCUUUGGAAUUGUGGAUUUCUUGGAAGUCGACAAGGAGUCCUUGUUGGAACUUGUAAAGAGGACCCCAACAGAAGUCAUCCGCAGUCAGCCAACAGGGUAUGUGAACGCAGCACCACGAGUACCAGGCCCAGGAUCGCAAGUAGAAGCAGUUGAUACAGAGGUCAAUAUCAAGUGUAGCUGUGGAACGUUUGACUUUCGACGAUCUUGGCUGAGUAGUAAUCGGCAUUUUGAAUCCGAAAAUGCGCAUACAGGUUCAAAACUCAAAGCAUUGAAAGAUAUUGUCCAAAAUGUGGUGCUUCCUGUUGGUGCUUAUUUACUUAACAUUAUAUUUGGCUCGGUUACCUUUGUUGUAAGAGUUACGAACUUGACGGCCCUGGACGAGUUAUGGAAAAGGUACAAAGAAGGUAAAAUGAAACAAGAUUUUGCCGAGAUAUUCUUCAACAUCAGUGAGAUGAAAGAUCAAGCAAACGAUCAAUCUGCAGAAUUGAUCGUCGAAAUAAGUGAGAAUGAAUACAGGAAAGCUAAAGAUCAACUCACUAUUUCCCAAACGACAGUUGACACUGAAGGGACGGUACCAAUCCCAGCGUAUUUACUUCAAAACACAAUGGAUAGCACAAUCAUGAGUGACAUAAACUACAAAAUAUNAACUGAUGGAUUGCCAACUCCAGCAGCAGGCGGAUCUCAAGACAGCCAGCAAGAAACAACUGACGGUGGCCGAAACANAUUUUCCAUAGAUGAUCAUCUACAACUUAUUUGGGACGACCUUGGUUUUCGUGAUCGAUUUUCCAGCGUGUUGGACGUUAAGUAUACACGUGUUAAAUAUUGGCCUCAUCUCGCUGAACAGUUUGACAUUAAGCGGGCUAUCUACGAUGCGUUUUCCACGUCAGACAUCAACAGCCCUACUGAGAGACUACUCGAGUAUUUGGAAUGCACUGAUCCAGAUUACACUGUACAAGAUUUCGUUCAAGAUUGCAAGACGGCAGACGCUUAUGAGGUUUCCCGCAUUGUGGAAGACAGUGUCAAAGCUGGUAUUCUGGAUAACGAAGACCUAGUAAGCGAGAUAUGUGAUAAAGCACCAAGGGUUCUGGAUGAGGUCGUGCUGAAGCUAGACCGCGAUAGUAGACUAUGGAAGAACCUGGCAACGGAAAAAAAAGUCCGUAAAAAGAAGUAUUUGACUUUCGAGAGUGACAGAACCACCAACCCAGCUCGUUCGUUCUUUGAUGUUUUACGAACGCAGGGACCUGAAAUAACAAUAGGAGAUUUCAAAGAAAAAUCGNAAAAAACGGAAAAAAUCUCGAGCAUCUUGAAAAAAUCUGGUAUCGAAGAUAAACUGCUUCUCAAGGAUCUCUCAAAAGAAAGCCCAGGUGCUAAAAGUGAGAUAGAAUCCUUUCUCAACAACCUGAAAACAGAAGUACUAUGGAACCUGGCAACCCAAUAUCAAAAGGAAGGACUGAUGGAAGAUAUUGACGUUGAAACUGCAUUCAGACAAGAAGAAGACUGCCACAGCCCAACUAAAAAAGUGAUGGAUUACGUCCUCGCUAGUUCACCUAAGAAAUACACUAUCAAGGAUCUGAUAGUCAAACUGUGGAACAUAAAUCGCAAAGACUGUUUUGACGUUCUACAACCAUACCUAAAGGGAGGCAAGAACGACAUCGAUAAAAUAACGAAAGGACUCAAGAGGCUUCAGCCUGAAGAACGACUGAAGAAGCAGCCGUGUACUGGUGACGAAANCGUAUCCAGCACACCAGUCUCAGACAAGUCAGAAGAAUCACAAAACCAAUACGUCAUGGCUAUCAGCGCUAAAAAAUAAAUUCCGUUUCUGCGUGUCAUCCUUAUAUAGGGUUUAUAGGCCAUUUUUUAUUUCUUUUAUAUCUUCUUAAUUCAUGUUUAUUGCUUGUCCAUACAAUAGCACUAAUAGAUUUUAUGAAAGCAUUCUGAAAUAUGAUGUGCCUUCAAAUUUGAAUAUAAAUCGCCUCCGAUUAUACACACACAGGACGCCAUAGAAACCACACUGACUCUUUUUUUCUUAUUAUUAGAUAAGCUAUGAGAGACUGAUACCAUUGCUAAUAGAUAAGAUAAGCCUUCAUUUAAUGUUGAAUUNAUUAGUUGCCGGAUAAUUUGACUUUUUAUCAAANCGUAUCUUAUUGUAGUAUAUUUGCUAUAAAGGUCUUACGCACAGUAACUGCACCAAGCAUUAACGUCAUGUUUUCUUAAGUACAAUGCAUCACUGGACUCCCUGGUUAAAAAAAUGGCGCCUUUCGUGUAGAUAACAAACGCGCAUCAGCGAAGGAUCCAGGAUUUUAGAAGAAAGGGGGUUCCAAAAUGGCCGCCACUNGGUCGACUUCACAAAGGGGUAUUCCAAUUUCAUUAUAAUGGGCGUAAAGAACAUUUUUGGCAUUGAUGAGAUCUCACAAANGGGGUUCCAUGGAACCUACAGAACCAUCCCAGGAUCCGCUGCUGCGCAGAACGGAAUGGCGUAAAAACUUUAGGGCGAUUAUAUUGAUCAGUAUUUGCAAGUCAUGAUUUUAAUAUUUCUGCUGAAUUGUAGCUAAUUAAACUGUGUAAUCCACAAAAUCAAAUCAUGAUUCGUGGGUAAAGAACAAGCUCACGCGUUGACCCCUAGAGUCGAUUAAUGAUUUGAAUUUUCGAA
Molecule: unclassified non-coding RNA, 3418 nt
Filed under: Actinia tenebrosa (Australian red waratah sea anemone)
Lineage: Eukaryota; Metazoa; Cnidaria; Anthozoa; Actiniaria; Actiniidae
Description: uncharacterized LOC116288498, transcript variant X1
Source: RNAcentral